Molecule: ribosomal RNA, 217 nt
Filed under: uncultured bacterium
Lineage: Bacteria
Description: partial 16S ribosomal RNA
Rfam family: Bacterial small subunit ribosomal RNA
Source: RNAcentral
UGGGAAUCUGCCCUCAGGUACGGAAUAACUCAGGGAAACUUGAGCUAAUACCGCAUAAUGUCUUCGGACCAAAGAUUUAUCGCCUGGGGAUGAGCCCGCGUAGGAUUAGCUUGUUGGUGAGGUAAAAGCUCACCAAGGCGACGAUCCUUAGCUGGUCUGAGAGGAUGAUCAGCCACACUGGGACUGAGACACGGCCCAGACUCCGUACGGGAGGCAG